CGCGGCCUAUCAGCUUGUUGGUCGGGUAAUGGCCUACCAAGGCUUCGACGGGUAGCCGGCCUGAGAGGGUGACCGGCCACACUGGGACUGAGACACGGCCCAGACUCCUACGGGAGGCAGCAGUGGGGAAUAUUGGACAAUGGGCGGAAGCCUGAUCCAGCAACGCCGCGUGAGGGAUGACGGCCUUCGGGUUGUAAACCUCUUUCAGCACAGACGAAGCGCAAGUGACGGUAUGUGCAGAAGAAGGACCGGCCAACUACGUGCCAGCUGCCGCGGUAAUACGUAGGGUCCGAGCGUUGUCCGGAAUUAUUGGGCGUAAAGGGCUCGUAGGCGGUUUGUCGCGUCGGGAGUGAAAACACCGGGCUUAACUCGGUGCUUGCUUUCGAUACGGGCAGACUAGAGGUAUUCAGGGGAGAACGGAAUUCCUGGUGUAGCGGUGAAAUGCGCAGAUAUCAGGAGGAACACCGGUGGCGAAGGCGGUUCUCUGGGAAUAUCCUGACGCUGAGGAGCGAAAGUGUGGGGAGCGAACAGGAUUAGAUACCCUGGUAGUCCACACCGUAAACGUUGGGCGCUAGGUGUGGGGUCCAUUCCACGGAUUCCGUGCCGCAGCUAACGCAUUAAGCGCCCCGCCUGGGGAGUACGG
RNAcentral lists this ribosomal RNA (643 nucleotides) under uncultured Actinomycetes bacterium. Its description in RNAcentral is "bacterial SSU rRNA". It matches the Rfam family "Bacterial small subunit ribosomal RNA", at positions 232 to 885 of the family's 1533-position model. The record is from RNAcentral. Lineage: Bacteria; Bacillati; Actinomycetota; Actinomycetes.